This 238-nucleotide unclassified non-coding RNA is filed under the name Hevea brasiliensis (rubber tree). Lineage: Eukaryota; Viridiplantae; Streptophyta; Magnoliopsida; Malpighiales; Euphorbiaceae. The record is from RNAcentral.
CGGAGGCGGAGGUGGAGGCUCCGGCUCAGGCUCCGGCGGGGGAGGAGGAAGAGGGGGCGCGGUGGUGGCGCCCUCGCGCCGGCAGUGCCGCGUGUCCGCGGCGGUGCUGACGGCCGCGGAGACGGCGACGGCGACGCGGCGCCGCGUGACGCACUCGAUGCCGCCGGAGAAGGCGGAGGUGUUCCGGUCGCUGGAAGGGUGGGCGAGGUCGUCGCUGCUGCCGCUGCUCAAGCCCGUG